Long non-coding RNA from Malaclemys terrapin pileata, 261 nucleotides. RefSeq lists it as uncharacterized. The transcript is spliced from 4 exons. The record is from RefSeq and is a predicted model, not a curated record. Lineage: Eukaryota; Metazoa; Chordata; Testudines; Emydidae.
AGGGAAGGAUUUCAGGCCCAAGGCCCAAGUGGAGCAGGAAGAAGCACACGCUCACCUCAGUUGCCUUCUUUGCUGAGGGCGCACUGUCCAGCACGCCGGCAGACAGACCCAGAUCAGAAGGCCUGGACUUGGUACGUGAACGCCAGAAGGGCUGAGGUGCUGUUUCCCGAGGAGCUGUUCCAGGACUAGCGAGGAGCCUUUCCAAGCGUCACAGAAGGACGGGCCAGAGUUAACAUGGCAUAGAGUUGUUUGUUGCAUAAU